UUAACCCUAAAGAUGCCACGCGCGGACAGCCUUCUCUCCCACAAACUCUGGUGGCUUCUCUUCUCCUCUCACUCGUUGUUGAUGAAAAAAAUCGUCAAACAAUUUUGUAAAGAUGGAAUUUUCUCGACAGUUAUCCGAAACCCAAUUCGUUUGAAGAAAAAAAAAAUCCCAUUUUCUUCUCAAACAAUCUAAAAUUUAAUCGAUUUUCCACCAUUGUUGAACACAGAGAACAAACCCAAGAAGAAAACCAUAGAGCAGGCAUUUUGUAGAGACCAAAAAUGGCCACUUCUCUUUCUUCUUCACAAACUCUUCACACCCUCUUCUGCAAAAACCUCCCCAUUUCUCUGUCUUCUUCCUUUCUCUCAAUUCCCAAGCCUUUAUCCCCUCUUCCUCUCUGCCACCGCUUCCUUCCUCUCACUAACAAUCGUCUUCAUUGCCGCCGUGGCAUUGUGGUUCGGUCCCAGUCUGAAAAUGGCGUCGAAGCUCUUCGGCCAUAUGAUUUUGAUCUCUUUACUAUCGGUGCAGGCAGUGGGGGUGUGCGAGCUUCCCGCUUUGCUGCUAAUUUUGGUGCUUCCGUGGCGGUUUGUGAGCUUCCUUUCUCCACCAUUUCGUCCGAUAGUGCUGGAGGUGUUGGUGGGACAUGUGUAAUUCGUGGAUGUGUACCGAAGAAGCUACUCGUAUAUGCAUCAAAGUAUGCACAUGAAUUUGAAGAGAGUCAUGGCUUUGGAUGGAAAUAUGACACUGAACCGAAACAUGACUGGAGCACCUUGAUUGCGAACAAGAAUGCUGAAUUACAACGACUAACUGGUAUCUACAAAAACGUUUUGAAAAAUGCUGGCGUCACCUUGAUUGAAGGCCGUGGAAAGAUUCUGGAUGAACACACGGUUGAUGUAGAUGGGAAAAUUUACUCGGCUAGACACAUUCUAGUGUCAGUUGGGGGGCGCCCUUUCAUUCCUGACAUUCCUGGUAGUGAGUAUGCUAUAGAUUCUGAUGCUGCCCUUGAAUUGCCAUCCAAACCUGUGAAGAUUGCCAUAGUUGGAGGUGGAUAUAUUGCUCUAGAGUUUGCUGGCAUCUUCAAUGGUUUGAAAAGUGAAGUCCACGUAUUUAUACGACAAAAAAAAGUGCUUAGAGGCUUUGAUGAAGAGAUUAGAGAUUUUGUUGCGGAACAGAUGUCACUAAGAGGAGUUGAGUUCCAUACAGAGGAGGUACCACAGGCUAUCCUUAAAUCAGCAGAUGGGUCGUUAUCUCUGAAGACUAGCAAAGGAACAGUUGAAGGCUUCUCACAUGUGAUGUUUGCAACAGGGCGCAGGCCUAAUACAAAGAACUUGGGAUUGGAAGAAGUAGGUGUAAAAAUGACCAAAAAUGGAGCAAUUGAGGUUGAUGAAUACUCCCGUACAUCAGUUCCUUCAAUUUGGGCUGUUGGAGAUGUUACAGAUAGAAUAAACCUUACUCCUGUUGCUUUGAUGGAGGGAGGAGCAUUAGCAAAAACUAUAUUUCAGAAUGAGCCUACAAAACCUAGCUAUAGUGCCGUUCCUUGUGCUGUUUUUUCCCAGCCACCAAUUGGAAUAGUUGGACUUACCGAAGAGCAGGCCAUACAAGAACAUGGUGAUGUUGACAUCUACACAGCAAACUUUCGGCCCUUGAAGGCGACACUCUCAGGGCUUCCAGACCGAGUUUUUAUGAAGCUUGUAGUCUGUGCAAAGACGAAUAAGGUUUUAGGACUGCACAUGUGUGGUGACGAUUCACCAGAAAUCGUGCAGGGUUUUGCAGUGGCUGUGAAAGCUGGUUUGACCAAGGCAGACUUUGAUGCUACCGUGGGUGUUCAUCCUACAGCGGCUGAAGAAUUUGUCACCAUGCGAACUCCUACAAGGAAGACUCGGAGAAAUCCUGAGGAAAAGUCAGAAUAUGAGGCUAAAGCUGCAGCAGGGGUAUAAAACGGAUGCAAGCUUAAUCAAUUUGUAAUUCAAAAACUUAGUCAGUCCAUUCAGGUUGACUAUGAAAGGUACAGGAACGGACAGCCCCGACGUCGGAUUUGAUUAAUGGCGAUGAUAAUAAUGAUGAAGAGCUUGUUGAAACUGGUCGUACAAAAUCGAUAACUUUACAAGGAUGCGAAUUUCAAAUAUUGCAGCUUUGAAGAACAGUGGAUUCACUAUGUUGUUCUCUUUUUUUCCUCUUUUUUUUUUUAAUUUAUUUUUCAUUAACAUUUUGAGGAGCACGGAUUAAAUCUGGAGUCGUCAUUGAGUGGAUUGUCUUGAUAGUUCUGGAUGUAUAUCUUUCUUAUUUAAUGGGUGGGUAUUUCCGUUUCUGUU
RNA transcript from Cucumis melo (muskmelon), 2309 nucleotides. It is a transcript of the gene named glutathione reductase, chloroplastic, with no coding region annotated. The transcript has 11 exons. Lineage: Eukaryota; Viridiplantae; Streptophyta; Magnoliopsida; Cucurbitales; Cucurbitaceae. The record is from RefSeq and is a predicted model, not a curated record.